CCUACGGGAGGCUGCAGUGGGGAAUAUUGCACAAUGGGGGAAACCCUGAUGCAGCGACGCCGCGUGAGUGAAGAAGUAAUUCGUUAUGUAAAGUUCUAUCAGCAGGGAAGAAGAUGACUGUACCUGUGUAAUAAGCCCCGGCUAACUACGUGCCAGCAGCCGCGGUAAUACGUAGGGGGCAAGCGUUAUCCGGAUUUACUGGGUGUAAAGGGAGCGUAGACGGCAGUGCAAGUAUGGAGUGAAAGGCGGGGGCUCAACCCCCGGACUGCUCUGGAAACUGUACGGCUGGAGUGCAGGAGAGGUAAGUGGAAUUCCUAGUGUAGCGGUGAAAUGCGUAGAGAUGAGGAGGAACACCAGUGGCGAAGGCGGCUUACUGGACUGAAACUGACGUUGAGGCUCGAAAGCGUGGGGAGCAAACAGGAUUAGAUACCCGAGUAGUC
Molecule: ribosomal RNA, 440 nt
Filed under: uncultured bacterium
Lineage: Bacteria
Description: partial 16S ribosomal RNA
Rfam family: Bacterial small subunit ribosomal RNA
Source: RNAcentral